This 72-nucleotide transfer RNA is filed under the name Camelus bactrianus (Bactrian camel). It matches the Rfam family "tRNA". Rfam says of the family: Transfer RNA (tRNA) molecules are approximately 80 nucleotides in length. Their secondary structure includes four short double-helical elements and three loops (D, anti-codon, and T loops). Further hydrogen bonds mediate the characteristic L-shaped molecular structure. tRNAs have two regions of fundamental functional importance: the anti-codon, which is responsible for specific mRNA codon recognition, and the 3' end, to which the tRNAs corresponding amino acid is attached (by aminoacyl-tRNA synthetases). tRNAs cope with the degeneracy of the genetic code in two manners: having more than one tRNA (with a specific anti-codon) for a particular amino acid; and 'wobble' base-pairing, i.e. permitting non-standard base-pairing at the 3rd anti-codon position. RNAcentral also lists the same sequence under 1 other name. The record is from Rfam by way of RNAcentral. Lineage: Eukaryota; Metazoa; Chordata; Mammalia; Artiodactyla; Camelidae.
GGUAGUAUAACUCAGGGGUAGAGUGUGUGCUUAGCAUGCACGAGGUCAUGGAUUCAAUAUCCAGUACCUCCA